This 77-nucleotide small RNA is filed under the name Xanthomonas melonis. RNAcentral's name for it is "sX9 sRNA". It matches the Rfam family "Xanthomonas sRNA sX9". Lineage: Bacteria; Pseudomonadati; Pseudomonadota; Gammaproteobacteria; Lysobacterales; Lysobacteraceae. The record is from RNAcentral. RNAcentral also lists the same sequence under 1 other name.
AUGUACUCCUCGUACACGCCGGUCCAGAGUGCGCCGUCCGUGCCCGCCUGGCGAUUGCUCGCGACGUCUUGCAAGCC